CGGGCUCGAGCCAAAGUUCGGUCGUCGUGUAGCGAUUGAACCUUUCCGAACAUCGAUACGAUACCAGUCCUUGCAUUCUCGUCAAACCUUCGAAUGCUAUCUCCCGAAGACCGUUGCGAGCUCAGUCCAUGUUUCCCGCUAUUCUAAUUCAUCGAUCAAACUUCGCGGAUUAGAAACCGCGGAAAACUCGUAGUAAACGUGUCGAGUCGGAAGACGGCCCAAAGGGACCUAAAACACGACUCAAGGCCCAUCCUACGAUUUUUCCUAACCAAAAGCCCGUGAACCACAGCAUGGUUCACGCUUGGCCCACGAAGAAGGAUAAAUGUCAAGUUUCCGCGGAUAAAUACGGAAGUUUCGAAGAUAAUUGUGAAGAUCGGGAAAAAUGGAAUAUCUCCAUUUUUAUGCUAUGACGGCUUAAGGGCAGAAGAGUAAAAGCGUAAACCGACCUUGGAGCUAGUAUAUAAGGAGUCCUAGGCGAGGAGCAAAGGGGAGAACCUUUUCAGAGCAAACUUAGCACUUAGAGCAAUUUAGGCAAUUUUCCGUUUUUGUUAUUUCGAGCUGCGACUCAAUUAGGUUUAGCCGUCUUAGGGUUGCUAGAACUAGGAAUCUCGCCGACAGCUCUCGAGCCCAGGCUUAUACCUUGUUGUAAUGCUCAUACGCAGAUUCGGAAUAAGAUCUACUUUGCUCUCUUUUCGAUUUCUUAUUUUUAUCGUUGUUAUUCUCGUGUUCUGAUUGCUUGACGUGUGGUAAUUAACAGAUAUCCGGGUCCUCUGGGAAAUUAGGGUUUUUCUAGUUUCCUUAUUUAAACGGAAAUCGACAGUGUGAAUUUCGGUUCCCACAGUUUGGCGCUAGAAGGAGGGGGACUUACGGAUCAAUCUAACCCGCAAAAGCCACACACAAUCUGACAUGUCAACCAACGACGCGGAUAACAUGCAAACUCCUCUUAAUGGAGGCAGCGGCACCGAUCUCCACACUCCAGUAGCAGACGUAUCCGCGGCCAACGCGCAAGCCAACGCCGCGACGCUCGAGGAGUUCAAAAAGAUGUUCGCCACCUAUGAGAAAAGGUCGGAAGAACAGGAUAAGCUCGUGAAUACCUUGACCAAACAGGUUGAAACCUUAACGGCAAGGACCCAAGCUAUCCGUCCCCGCGGAACCACCAAAAUCCGCGGGAAAAGGCUCGACUUUGCCACCCCACUCGAUAGAACAGGACUCGCGCGGGAACGACCUUCCGGUCAAAACCCUAGCGAGAAAUCUCCCGUCGAAAAGGGGAACCCUGAAAAUCUUCCGCCCCCUGCAAAGGACUCGGAGGAUAACGAAGCCGAACACAUUGACCUGGAUCCUAGCGAUGUCUCCAACGACACCGACGAGGAUGUCGACAGACAUCCAAGAAGGACCAGAAGCCGAUCCGCUCGGGAAGGCUCCCCGUUCGAAAAACCAAUGACGGAAGAAGAAGAAGUCGCCUAUUGGAACGAACAAGAGGAGCUGGCCGAAAGGCAAACCGAGCUCACUCGCAGUAAACGCCGACAGGUUCGGAAAUCCACUGACGAGACAUCGGAUAUCCGCGAUCUUCGCGACUACAUCACUAAGACUGCGGCAGAAGUGAGAGCCGUAAAGUCUCAAAUCCAUCAUGCUACUAGUGCUGCCCCCGAGAUCGAUCGACUGCUGGAAGGAGCUCGAAAGACCCCCUUUACCAGUCGCAUUUCGGACAUGAGGGUGUCCGAUCCGGGAAAGAUCAAAGUACCGAAGUACGAUGGUACGGCCGAUCCAAAAGCGCACCUUCAGGCUUUCCACAUCGCGAUGGGAAGAGCAAGACUGAAGGACGGCGAAAAAGAUGCCGGCUAUUGCCGCCUGUUCGUCGAAAAUCUCGAAGGAGCAGCGCUCGAAUGGUUCGCACGCCUUCGUCGCAACACCAUCGGGAGUUUUCGACAGCUCGCAUCGGAAUUCCUCAAACAGUACUCUGUAUUCAUAGACAGGGAAACCUCCGAUGUUGACCUCUGGAGUCUCUCCCAGAGGGAAGACGAACCCCUCCGCGAAUUUAUCAGUCGGUUCAAGCUGAUAAUGUCCAGGGUCAGCGGGAUAAGCGACAAAGUGGCCAUCGACGCGCUGAGAAAGACGCUCUGGUACAAGUCGAAAUUCAGAAAAUGGAUAACUCUCGACAAACCGCGAACGAUCCAGGACGCCCUCCACAAAGCAACGGACUACAUCAUAGUCGAGGAAGAAACUAAAGUCUUAUCGCAAAAACAUAAGCCGGCAAGACCAUCCUCGAAAGACGCAGAUCCGAAGGGGAAAAAGAAGAACUCUCGUAACGACAAGUACGUCCAUCACGAGGGGGAAGAUCUCCAAGGGGCGCAUAACUAUGCGAUCAGUUCGGAUCAAGGCCGGACCACGGGCAACACAUGGACUCGCAAUCAAGGGUAUGACGAAAACACCUUCUGCGAGUUCCACCAAUCCCGAGGACACUCCACGACCAAUUGCAAAGUCUUGGGAGCAAGACUGGCCGCGAAGCUACUCGCUGGAGAGCUUUCGGAAGUAACUAGCGUCAAGGAUCUCAUCCUCGAUUCUGAUCGGCCUCCAAAGACGGAUAGAAAUCCGCCCGCUGAAAAAUCCCCUCAACGAAACCAUCCUGGGGAUAAACGCGGUAGGAGGCCGGAUGACAAAGGGAACGAUAACAAUCGUCGCAGAGUCAAUAUGAUCAUCGGAGGAUCACAAUACUGCGGCGAUACCGUGUCGGCCAUCAAGGCUUACCAACGGAAGGCAGAGUCAAGUGCAAAUUGGCCUACAUGGUCUCCUCCUCGAGACGGCCAAAGUUGCUCGAUCACCUUCACGGAGGAAGAACCCGGCGGUAUCGACCAACCUCACUGCGACCCGCUCGUCAUAGAUCUUGUCAUACGAGAUUUAGAAGUCGGAAGGGUACUCGUCGACACGGGAAGCACGGUCAACGUAAUCUUCCGCGACACUCCAAGCGGAUGAGUAUCGAACUCGGAGAAGUAAUCCCGACGCCAAAACCGUUCACGGGUUUUUCAGGCGAAGUGUCGAUGACUCUCGGAUCAAUCCAAUUGCCAGUCAUGGCCAAAGAGAUCACAAAAAUCGUCGAAUUCGCGGUAGUCGAUCAUCCCGCUAUCUACAACGUAAUCAUGGGAACCCCAUGGCUCAACGCCAUGCAGGCAGUUCCAUCAACCUACCACCUGGGUCUUAAGUUCCCAACGCCGAGCGGAGUCGCGGCCAUCUGGAGAUGCCAAAAACAGUCGCGACUAUGCUUCCUCGCGGAGCAUAAGUUAAGGCAAAUCACGGCUUCCACAAACGGCAAACGCGCGAAGAUAGAUCGAUCUUCAGCCAAAAGCCCCCGGGAGAAGACGAAGUAAAAUCGUCUAUCAACGCAAACGCAUCGGACGUCGAGGCUCGACAUAAAUCCGAAGCCCACGCAACAACUCAACCGGAACAUCCGGAAAAUAGCGUCGACCCAGCCACGAUCGACACGGUCAAGGCGGACAUCGCGACAUCUACCGCCGAGUAAGAACACUCGCGGCAUGAAACAGAACUACGAGAUGGCUUGAUCCUCGAAAGGGGUACGUAGGCAGCUCGUCAAAAGACGAGUUCAGCUAUCCCCCUCUCUAAAAGGGGGGGGGGAGUGGGUGCGUAUACUCGUAUACUCCCACUUAGAAAAAUCUUCAUUAUUGUAAUCGAGUUUUUAGAAACUUCAAAAACUUUACUACAAUAUACGUUGUCCUUUCUUAUCGAAAACGUUUACGCUUCAGUAAAACACAAAAGAAACUUUCAGGACACGCCUGAAAACGUUAAGACUCUUGUCUGCGGCCCCUUCCGGCCCAAAAAUCGUAAAGAUUAUCAUCUUUCAAACACGCAAAAAUACACGCAUAAUCCUCGAAAUAACUGCGAGACGUCGCAAAAGUUAAAAUUCGAGGACAAUGCUAACAAAUUGUCCGAACGCGACCACCAAAAACCUUACACCCCGUUCGUCGAUUGGCCCCGACGAACACGCCAGCCGUCUUAAACAAACGCAAUCCGAUCACUCUUUUGAUCUUUAAAAACGUCCAGCACAAGGACAAAAGCGCGCUACAACAAAAAUCCGAAAUUUUGGUUUAGCACUUCCAGUUGAUUCUGAGAAGAUGCUCGAUUCGUACCAUACAAGUCAUAUAAGCCGAGAACAUAUCGCGGACUUUAAAUCGGUGCGAUCAGGAAGAAAUCGCAACAGGAAAAACGAUAGCCGGCUAGUCACCGCACAAACCUUAACCGAAAGUAAACCUAGGUCUUGCCCUAAACCCAACGCUCUGGUCCAAACAUCUCAAGGCAUGAUAUCUAAAAGAUACGAGAUCAUAAACCAUGUCUCUCCGUUCGUAUCUCAAUGUUCUCGAAAAUCGUAAAGAUAAGUAAAUUUUUACGAAAAUCACGAACGAACCAACAGAUUGAACGUCUAAUCAGAACUACAUACGAGACGACAACUCGUAUUUACUUCAACCCUACUCAGGAAAACUCGAAACAAAACAUUUAUAUAUAAAUAAACCGCGUAAAGCGGCAAGGGAUUCAAAGCCACCAACGGCCAGUCCCGGAAAUAAAAUACGGCCAUCUAGGCCUAAACGAAAUCCAAAUUCAAAGGGCCACACUCGGCCGAAAACAAGGAUAACUGAUCCAUCCCUCAUGAUCCAAAGUCAAAGUCCCCGGACAACGAAGCACCAAACGCAUCCGCGGGACGAUCCACUUCCUCGCCACCAUCGGGAAAACCGGUCGGAACCUCCUCGGUAUCAGGGGAAACCGGGAUGGAAUCCCAGAACCCUUGAAUCCUCUCGUCAAUCGGAGGGAUAAGCGCCUCAGCGUGGGCACGGUCACUCAUCCCACUCUUCAUCAAGCUCAUUUCCUCUUCAAACACAUAGUCAUCGGCUCGCGUCCUCCAAAGACUUCCGACCGAACCACGGCACUCGCGAAAGUCACCCACCGAGGUAAAGGCAUUCUUGAGGUUCCCGUACUCAACCUGGAACUGAGAUGCACGAGUCUUCAUCACCUCGACGAUUUCUCUUUUGCCUUUCCUCUCCGCUUUACGAACAGCCCGCGCAUGAUCACGAGUAAGCUGCGCCUCUCGCUCCAGCAUCUCGCCUUGCACGCGAGCAAGAUCCCGCUCCGCUUUCUCCGCCUUGAAGCGGUAGACCAUGGCUUCUCUAUGGCCCGCCUCAAUGGCCGAGCCCAGCAAGCUCAGGCCCUGCAAAAUCGAUUGGCAUGUUAUAAAUAUAUACAUAGGACAAUCACCAAAAAAUUCUCAAAAAAAAACUAACCCCAUUGAUGAUGCGAGAUCCUUCCGCAACGACUCUCGGCCUCGCCGAUUCUUUCGUAGGAGGAGGAGCAUCGAAACCCGAUGGCAGCCCAGCAAAGAAAUCAUCGAAAUCCGGAAUAGGGGCCUCGCUCGAACCGCUCCCGUCGCCGUAAGCAAGGUUCGGAUCCCAUCCUGGAAGCAUAGAGUCAUCCAUCGAAAACUCUAUGUCGCCAAGAUCGACAUCUUUUCCCUUCCAAGAGCUCGACUCCGGCGCAGCUGUCGGAGCUUCGACGGGAUUCUGGUCGUCGGGUUCGGAGUCGCUUCCCGUGUCCGCAUCCAAAGCAGGACCGGGUUGCACGAAUCUCAGUGCCUUCCGAACCCUCUUCGGCGUAAAAGAAGUCCAGAAGAAGGGACCAUUCCUGAGAAGAUCCCUCACCGAAAUGAUGUCCUCGGGGAACGGAGCAAAAGGGUUGAUGAAGGGACGAUCAUUCGGCAACCUCCGGAACAAUGGAAUGCAACUCUCUUCGACGGAUGCAGCGUCUAUACGGACAAAGAAAAAGAACUUCUUCCACGAGUUGAAGUUCGAAAUAAACUUCUUAACCACUGACAUAAAUUUCCGAGGGACCAACCUAUGCUUAUCCGUACCCCUGACAAGUUGAAGCCUCAAAAGCGCUUCAUAAUGAUCGACGGAAAGGGAAAGGCCAUGCUCGUAGCUUAGGAUCAGGAUCCCAAUAAGGUGCUGAAUGGCAAGGGGUGUCAACUGACUUAUCGCAACUUCGAAACGGUCCAACACUCGGACGAGAAUUUGGGUAUGGGGAACCAGAGGCGACAACGCACUACGAACGCCUCAUAACAAGUAAAGUAACCCUCCGGGGGGUUGUUAGCACAUUCCCCGCGGCAGGGAACCCGGAACUCCACAGCAUCCGGGAUGUGGUAGAACGAUCGCAUCGUCGCGAGAAACUCGUCAGUAGUCCUGCUUGCAUCCUCUUCCUCGACUCCACGAUGGACCAGGACCGGGAACGGCUUCUCCUUGGGAGGGGUCAACGAGCCAUAAUGAGCAACCCACCAUGCCUCGUUCUCGGCAGGAUGCACCGAGUGAGGCACGAACUCCAUCUUCGGAACGACGAGCUCUUCAUAAGGACUCGCGGACGAAGACCCUUUUUCGCAAUCUUUUUCUUGCUCGACAUCUUUACACUUCUCUUGAGAGAAUAGAGGAAAAGGGUGGAGAGAAAGAUAGAAAGUUUUUUUGAAAGAUCUUAGAGAAAAACAAGAAAGUGAAAAAAUUAUGGAACAAGUUACCUCUCUUCUUAUAAGACAUGAGGAUUUACUAUUCAAGCUCGGACUUUCGGAUAUUAAUUCCAUCCAUCACGCCUAACUUGCCAAACAUGCCUAACCGCACGCUAGGAUCCUACGAUGCAUGAUCCUAACGGGCUGGGGGGCUAACUGUUGGGGUCAAAAACGGUUACGACGGAAUUACCACCCGAAUAUCCUCGGAGAUCGUAUUUCCGAAAGAGUUAGUAAAAGAAGAGAUGUAAUUUUCGUAAAAAUAACCUAUACGAAGUUUUUACGAAGAAGUAUCCUUUGGGAUUCAAACCAAGCAAACCAAGCUCGGUCGCUACGUAUACACGCCGUCCGGUCGCUACGUAGCAACCAAACCCGAGCCAAGCUCGGUCGCUACGCAGUGACCGAGCGAUCGUCCCGCUCGGUCGCUACGUAGCGACCGAGCUCGAGCCAAAGCUCGGUUGCUACGUAGCGACCGAGCGAUCGUCCCGCUCGGUCGCUACGUCGCGACCGAGCGAUCGUCCCGCUCGGUCGCUACGUAGCGACCGAGCUCGAGCCAAAGCUCGGUCGCUACGUAGCGACCGAGCGAUCGUCCCGCUCGGUCGCUACGUAGCGACCGAGCUCAAGCCAAAGCUCGGUCGCUACGUAGCGACCGGGCUCGAGCCAAAGUUCGGUCGUCGUGUAGCGAUUGAACCUUUCCGAACAUCGAUACGAUACUAGUCCUUGCAUUCUCGUCAAACCUUCGAAUGCUAUCUCCCGAAGACCGUAGCGAGCUCAGUCCAUGUUUCCCGCUAUUCUAAUUCAUCGAUCAAACUUCGCGGAUUAGAAACCGCGGAAAACUCGUAGUAAACGUGUCGAGUCGGAAGACGGCCCAAAGGGACCUAAAACACGACUCGAGGCCCAUCCUACGAUUUUU
RNAcentral lists this long non-coding RNA (7457 nucleotides) under Brassica rapa (field mustard). Its description in RNAcentral is "long non-coding RNA (BRAP_LNC003737)". Lineage: Eukaryota; Viridiplantae; Streptophyta; Magnoliopsida; Brassicales; Brassicaceae. The record is from RNAcentral.